RNAcentral lists this ribosomal RNA (258 nucleotides) under uncultured bacterium. Its description in RNAcentral is "partial small subunit ribosomal RNA". It matches the Rfam family "Bacterial small subunit ribosomal RNA", at positions 26 to 286 of the family's 1533-position model. The record is from RNAcentral.
AGGACGAACGCUGGCGGCGUGCUUAACACAUGCAAGUCGAGCGGAAAGGCCCUUCGGGGUACUCGAGCGGCGAACGGGUGAGUAACACGUGAGCAACCUGCCCCCUGGCUCUGGGAUAGCCUCCGGAAACGGGGAUUAAUACCGGACAUUCACUUUCUUCCGCAUGGUCGGGAGUGGAAAGUUUUUCGGCCAGGGAGGGGCUCGCGGCCUAUCAGCUUGUUGGCGGGGUAACGGCCCACCAAAGGCGACGACGGGUAG